AGUGGCUCUAAGAAUAGAUGGGGAAUAUAGAUUAGAGAAGGAAGAAUAAUACACUGAGAGGGCCCAGGUUUUGUUGUCUCUUCUGAACAGCUAGGGCAUUAUUCCCAGAUCUCGACAAUGCCUGUCUAUAUGACUCGUCAAGUGAGGAAAAAAAUAAUCAAGUGUCCAUCUAACAUUUGUGCUAUCAAAGUUGUGACAUUGUGCCCAGGGAUGGCGAUGAUACAAAGAGUAUUUUGCUUACAGUUUAACAUCAUCUAAAACCAUCCAGGUGAUUCAACAAUAGACCUAUCAUACAGGCAUUACAUGAUAACCCAGGUACCUCGGCAACUUGGAACAAAGUCAACCAACAAUCCUUUCCAUCAUUUUUUAUUAAUAUAAUCAGAUCGUAUAUUGUACUGUAUUUAAUCCAUUAAUGUUUGAUUAUGCUUUAAACCAUAGGCAAUGAACAUUCUUUUUUACAUACUAAUCAACAACACAGAAUAUUUUCAAGAUAUAAUGUAAUUUGAAAAAUCUAUGCUGAAAUCAAAAAAAUAAUCAAGUGUCCAUCUAACAUUUGUGCUAUCAAAUUUGUGACAUUGUGCCUAUGGAUGGCCACGAUACAAAGAGUAUUUUGCUUACAAUUUAACAUCAUCUGAAACCAUCCAGGUGAUUCAACAAUAGACCUAUCAUAUAGCCUAGGCAUUACAUGAUAACCCAGGGACCCAGGCAACUUGGAACAAAGUCAAUCAACAAGCCUUUCUAUCAUUUUUUUUUAAUAUAAUCAGGUAGCGUAUUUAAUCCACUAAUGUUUGAUUAUGCUUUAAACCAUAGGCAAUGAACAUUCUUUUUUACAUCCUAAUCAACAACACAGAAUACUUUCAAGAUAUAAUGUAAUUUGAAAAAUCUAUGCUGAAGUCAAAUAAAACAUAACAGAAAUGAUAACAUAUAUCCUUACUGUUUUAGGUGAAAUGGUAAACAAUACUUGGCUUGUUAGGUUAUCCAACUUGCUAGAGGUUUGGGUCUAUAAUUUUUCAACAAAACUAUUGGGAGAGACACAGAGUGAGAUACAUUAAAUUGCAGCACAAAGAAAAAUGAGAUUGUGCAGUGACAAACACACAGUUGUACAUACAUUGGUACAUCAGAGAGUAUAUGUCAUCUUAUAUGAUCUACAGCAUCCAAGAUGCCUACAAACCAAUAAUCAAAUGAUUCGAAGAAAUCCUACUCGGACACAAACAUCACAGAGACUACCAGUAAAAUUUGGCUGCCUAGAUGCCACCCACCUGCAGGUCAGCACUCAAAAAUAAGAGGCAACAUGGAAAAAGAAAAGC
This 1307-nucleotide long non-coding RNA is filed under the name Elaeis guineensis (African oil palm). Its description in RNAcentral is "long non-coding RNA (EGUI_LNC031508)". Lineage: Eukaryota; Viridiplantae; Streptophyta; Magnoliopsida; Arecales; Arecaceae. The record is from RNAcentral.